RNAcentral lists this ribosomal RNA (316 nucleotides) under uncultured bacterium. RNAcentral's name for it is "bacterial SSU rRNA". It matches the Rfam family "Bacterial small subunit ribosomal RNA", at positions 32 to 334 of the family's 1533-position model. The record is from RNAcentral.
GAUAACGCUGGCGGCGCACAUAAGACAUGCAAGUCGAACGGACGUUAACCAGUUAGUUUACGUAUUGGAGCGGUUAGUGGCGGACUGGUGAGUAACACGUGAGCAACCUACCUAUCAGAGGGGAACAACAGUUAGAAAUGACUGCUAAUACCGCAUAUGCCUUAGUAACACAUGUUACAAAAGGGAAAGAAGCAAUUCGCUGAUAGAUGGGCUUGCGUCUGAUUAGCUAGUUGGUGAGGUAAUGGCUCACCAAGGCGACGAUCAGUAGCCGGACUGAGAGGUUGAACGGCCACAUUGGGACUGAGAUACGGCCCAG